GAACACUGAAUACCGGGAUGUUUGCAUUUACGCAUCAAAUUGGCAACUUGCAAGACGCCAGUGGUAAUUUCAGGAACUCUAUUCAUGAUUUCAAUAGUUUCAGUCACAAAGUAAAUAUGAACAUAUUAGAUGAAUAGACACAUUCAUUCAUCACUUAAAAUCUAUAAAAACCAAUAUAAUAAUAAUAUUGAUACUUUAUUUCAUUAGUGGCAAAAAUAGAACUAAAACUGGAUAAAUGUCUCCGAACCGGAUAUAAUGAUGACAAAACAUACAAUUCCGCUUUCUGAACAACCUUCAGGAAGUAACAUCAGAGGUAAUGUUAGUGACGCUACUACUACCACUUUGGAAGAAUACAAUCCUGAGGUUAUCGAGGAACCUCUACACGUGAGACCUUACAGCGAAAAAGCUACUGUGGCGUUACCAUAUAUUCUAUUGCUCCAUCAGGGAUAACUCCCAAUUUGGAGAAUAGAUUUAUGUACCUUUUGAAAUAGACUGGGAAAAGGCUUUUGGAUACCACUGAGUAUGAUAAAUUGAUAAUGGCUACUUAUAAACCAGGACAUGUAUUUUUAAGAAACGAGAUUGCAUCCUUAAUAAUUAAGAAUGAAUUGAAAGAUGACAAAAAUAAAAGCUUAGCCACAAUUUCAUCGUAAAAAAAUAAUUUACCAAAGGAAAUUGUUUUCUACUACAACUAAUUGGUAACAAAAAUAUGAACAAAUUACAUAAUGUUUCGAAAUUUUUUAUUUUCAAAGUUUUCUUGCUAACUUCAUAAGUAUAUAAUCAUAACAUUUUAUAUCACUUUCUUCACGGAUUUAUUUAUUUUUAUUUUCAGAAUAUCCUGUGAGAGAUUUAAAACAUUGGCACAAGAAAUUCAUGAUAUUUUUCCAUACGAAAACCCAGAAGUUCAUUAUACACCUUAUGUUAAUAAUAAAGGAAAGCCCAGGGGUGAACUUUGGUCUAAUUAUAUUUAUUCAAGGAUUCAAAUAAUUUAUUACUAGAAUAUACAUGUUUUAUUUUGGUAAAAUUUCCAUUUUGUUAAGGACUGGCAAUACCAGAAAUAAUUAUUCUUGAAGUUUUUACCUUCCACUUAACUGAAUCAAUAGGAAAAUCUUAAAAUGAGAAAUAUGGAUAGUUUGAUCCUAAAAAAUUUUACUACUCACUUAUACUAGAUAGACAUUCUCAAUGUAAUUACUUUUAUUUGGUUUUACGUCGUUUGUCAUCUUUCAAAGUUUUCAUUCAAAAUAAAAAAUAGGUCAAUGA
RNAcentral lists this long non-coding RNA (1257 nucleotides) under Leptinotarsa decemlineata (Colorado potato beetle). RNAcentral describes it as "uncharacterized LOC111514580, transcript variant X3". The record is from RNAcentral. Lineage: Eukaryota; Metazoa; Arthropoda; Insecta; Coleoptera; Chrysomelidae.